This 431-nucleotide ribosomal RNA is filed under the name uncultured bacterium. RNAcentral describes it as "partial 16S ribosomal RNA". It matches the Rfam family "Bacterial small subunit ribosomal RNA", at positions 29 to 507 of the family's 1533-position model. The record is from RNAcentral.
AACGAACGCUGGCGGCAGGCCUAACACAUGCAAGUCGAGCGCCCUUUCGGGGGAGCGGCGGACGGGUGAGUAACGCGUGGGAAUAUGCCCUUCUCUACGGAAUAGCCUCGGGAAACUGAGAGUAAUACCGUAUACGCCCUUUGGGGGAAAGAUUUAUCGGGGAAGGAUUAGCCCGCGUUGGAUUAGGUAGUUGGUGGGGUAAUGGCCUACCAAGCCGACGAUCCAUAGCUGGUUUGAGAGGAUGAUCAGCCACACUGGGACUGAGACACGGCCCAGACUCCUACGGGAGGCAGCAGUGGGGAAUCUUAGACAGUGGGGGCAACCCUGAUCUAGCCAUGCCGCGUGAGUGAUGAAGGCCUUAGGGUUGUAAAGCUCUUUCAGCUGGGAAGAUAAUGACGGUACCAGCAGAAGAAGCCCCGGCUAACUCCGUG